This 422-nucleotide ribosomal RNA is filed under the name uncultured Clostridium sp. RNAcentral's name for it is "bacterial SSU rRNA". It matches the Rfam family "Bacterial small subunit ribosomal RNA", at positions 355 to 794 of the family's 1533-position model. The record is from RNAcentral. Lineage: Bacteria; Bacillati; Bacillota; Clostridia; Eubacteriales; Clostridiaceae.
CGGGGAAUAUUGCACAAUGGGCGAAAGCCUGAUGCAGCAACGCCGCGUGAAGGAUGAAGUAUUUCGGUAUGUAAACUUCUAUCAGCAGGGAAGAUAAUGACGGUACCUGACUAAGAAGCCCCGGCUAACUACGUGCCAGCAGCCGCGGUAAUACGUAGGGGGCAAGCGUUAUCCGGAUUUACUGGGUGUAAAGGGAGCGUAGACGGUAUUGCAAGUCUGAAGUGAAAGCCCGCAGCUCAACUGCGGGACUGCUUUGGAAACUGUGAGACUAGAGUGCAGGAGAGGUAAGUGGAAUUCCUAGUGUAGCGGUGAAAUGCGUAGAUAUUAGGAGGAACACCAGUGGCGAAGGCGGCUUACUGGACUGUAACUGACGUUGAGGCUCGAAAGCGUGGGGAGCAAACAGGAUUAGAUACCCUGGUAGU